AAGUCGUAACAAGGUUUCCGUAGGUGAACCUGCGGAAGGAUCAUUAAUGAAUGAAUGUAGAGUUGGGUUGUAGCUGACCUCUCCCAGAGGUAUGUGCACGCCCUUCUCUUUCAUCCACACACCCCUGUGCACUUGUGAGACAGAGGCUGUUUUUAUUCCUUUAACCUAGGAAUAAGUCUCUGUCUAUCAUCACAUAAAAUCUAAUCUAAUUAAAUCUGAAUGUAAUUUGAUGUAACGCAUCUAAUACAAAGUUUCAACAACGGAUCUCUUGGCUCUC
This 277-nucleotide unclassified non-coding RNA is filed under the name fungal sp. RNAcentral's name for it is "partial internal transcribed spacer region". The stretch from base 1 to 46 matches the Rfam family "Eukaryotic small subunit ribosomal RNA", at positions 1786 to 1831 of the family's 1831-position model. The record is from RNAcentral. Lineage: Eukaryota; Fungi.